RNAcentral lists this ribosomal RNA (486 nucleotides) under uncultured bacterium. RNAcentral describes it as "bacterial SSU rRNA". It matches the Rfam family "Bacterial small subunit ribosomal RNA", at positions 30 to 504 of the family's 1533-position model. The record is from RNAcentral.
CGAACGCUGGCGGCGCGUUUUAAGCAUGCAAGUCGAACGGUAGGGUAGUGCUUGCACUACCUGAGAGUGGCGAACGGGUGAGUAACGCGUAGAUGAUCUACCCUUCGGUUGGGGAUAGCUCAUGGAAACAUGGGGUAAUACCGAAUAAGAUCCUUAGGCUUUGGCUAUAGGAUGAAAGGGGCUUCGGCCUCGUCGAGGGAUGAGUCUGCGUAUGAUUAGCUAGUUGGUGUGGUAAAGGCGCACCAAGGCGACGAUCAUUAGCCGGCCUGAGAGGGUGACCGGCCACAUUGGGACUGAGACACGGCCCAGACUCCUACGGGAGGCAGCAGCUAAGAAUCUUCCGCAAUGGGCGAAAGCCUGACGGAGCGACGCCGCGUGGAUGAAGAAGGCGGAGACGUUGUAAAAUCCUUUUCCCACAGAAGAAUAAGUUUCAGAGGUAAUGCUGGAGCGAUGACGUUAUGUGGGGAAUAAGCACCGGCCAAUUAC